This 6048-nucleotide long non-coding RNA is filed under the name Sus scrofa (pig). RNAcentral's name for it is "lncRNA (ENSSSCG00060036017.1)". The record is from RNAcentral. Lineage: Eukaryota; Metazoa; Chordata; Mammalia; Artiodactyla; Suidae.
UUCAAGCCCUGGCCCAGGAACUUCCACAUCUAUUUGGUAUAUUUCGGUGUCACUUAUUAAAACAAAUACACAAAAAUUCAGGAGGACACAGGAAAACUUUUUAAAACUAGGGGGUAAGCUUAGUUUGAUUAGAAUAAAGUUGAGGCACGCAUAUUGGGGAGACAGCGAUAUACUGGUUUCCGUGGAAGCUUGUGAAAAGGGAAGUUACCCAGAGAAUUGGGUGCUUAAUAGAGCAAGGAGAGAGAGAAAAAAAUGGUCGUAGAAAACAGUCAGAACCACCACCACCACCACAAAGAGCUCACGGCACGUUAAAACAGGAGUGUGCGAGCUUAGGGCGCGGGUACCCGAGAGACGGAAUGUGCUGUAGGCACCAUGCGAGGCAGUUUCCCAGGGACCUGAGAAGAUGAGGCGUUACAGGAGGAACCCUAGAGACUUCAAUUACUUAGCAGCACUCUGACCACACAGUGGCUGCUCCUCUAGGCACCAAGCAUCAAUAAAACUUUUCACGUAGCAUAUUCAAUAUCAACAUUUUAUCAGAAUUCAUAUGCCCCCCAAUCUAUCCUGUGUCAGGAAUACAACUACAAUUUCUGGUGUCCUCUGACGCACUGUAAAAGAUAAUAACUGAUUCCUUAACCCUUUACAGGGAUCAAGGGAACUUUUUUCGGCUCUGACAUCACAUUCCUUCCUUUUACAGAGCAGAUUCAGUGUGAAGAAUCGCUUCAUAUAUUCCCCUGCUGUGAUUUAUAUUCUAGCAAUCACAGCCUAUUAGGCAGCCUGGGUCCUUACACAAGUCCCUUACUUUCCUAGCUUUUUAUUUCACAAACUCCUUUAGCAUCACAGCACAACACCUGUGAUCCCUUUGGCUCUUGCAAUUGUGGUCUUCUUCCUCAACUCCCUUCCUCAACUCUCAAUAUCUUCAGAGACUGCAUCUUGCCCAGGAAUGUCAAUUCUUCCCUUUCUUCCCUCGGUGUAGAAAAGUCUCUGACUUAGGUUACUCAUCACCCACCUUCCAUGGUGGGAGUCUAUCAGAUACAGAAGCCCUCCACUCUUGGUGGCUGCUCGUCUGGAAUCACGGGAAGUCUGAUGAUAACUGUCUCUAUGACUUCGGACAGAUGAAUCUAUUUCUUGGAGGGUAAAACUGGAAACGGUAUUGCUCUAUGUAAUCUUCAAGAGAUUUAAGAAAACACAUCUAAAGUUUUUGGCUAAAAUGCUAAAUUUAUCUAAAAUAUCUGAGACCUAGGAGAUACAUCAGGCUUAAGUGAAACAUGCUAAUGGGGACGCCAAGCAGCCACAAUCUUCAGCACAUCAGCUCCAUACACCAGUGAUCCAGAACCAGGUGUGACCUGGAGGGCCCAAGUUUUCCCUUGGAAAGAUGCGACUCCUCAGGGAUUCUCUUCAGAAUUAUUUUGCCCGAAUCCCUUUUUGGCUUCUAAUAUUCAGAAGUGUAUAUGACUACCUUGAGCGUGAGAUAGAAGAAGUAUUAAAAUCAUCUGCAGUAUCAUCAUCAUUGUGUUUGAAAAUGAUAACUUUUACUUAAUAUCAGAUAGCAGUGUUUACAGAGGCCAGAGACUUUUCCUGCAUGGAUUCUCAUCCUAGGUGCUUUCUAUACUUGGACAUGGGUUUACAAUGGGCUCCAUCCCAGAGCUUCUGAGCAGCCUCUGAGGAUGAUAAUCUGGCUCCUUCAGGGGAAGGGCAGCCUGCACCUGUGCCUAUCCCAGAACAGUGAUUUCACAUGAGCAAUGGUCAGUCCUACCUCUUGCUUUCCCUUCUACUUCCUGAAUCCUUCAGAUAUAUUAGGUAGGAAUCAGUUACCCAUUCUUUGCGCUUCAGAAGCCGUCCUCCAGGGGUAGCCAGCCACUCACCCUGCUGUUGGCUGGCUGGGUCUCCAGUUGGCCAAGCAUAAGGAUGUCUUGUAGACAGAAAAAAAGCCACUGAAUAUGGGCACAAGAGGAGAAUAAACACACAGUGGACCCUAAUGCAGAUAAUUCUUCAAGGAAGCAUAGGUGUCCUGAGUAGGGCAUCCAUUCCUCCUUCGGCAAUUCCAGAACCAGGAUGGGAUAUUUUUGUAUUCAGGAUCCUUGGCUCUGUCCAGCUAGGUGCCCUAUCAACACCACACCUCUGUGCCUUAACUGCUCUAAUCUGCAUGGCCACUUUUGACCAGUGCAUUCCCUCAGGACCCAUUUUUUUUCCCUUAAUAUGACCUCCAGGGAAAUAAAUGAUGUCACUGCCAUGGGGAAACUGUCUUUUGCUCAGAAAAAGGAGGUGGCCGUGCCAGAUCCCCAGUGUGGGGGUCCAGGUUCAGCCACAAGUGGCACUGAGAAGGGCCCUUGGGACCAUCUGAUGGAGAAAAACAAUGGGCUUAGUCAAUUGGAAUGUGCAAUAAACAGUCUGUGCUCUGAAUAACUCAGCAGUUACUAGCUGUUGCAUGGUGGGACAAUUAAUCAAAAAUUUUAUAUUUUUGCAGCUAAACAACAGGAAUAAUGAAACCUGCCUCACUGAGCUAUUGUGAGGAAGGCAAAACGUUGUAGGUAACAAAUAAAUUUAUUACUCAAAAGCAGUGCUUGUGAUCACAAUUACAAACAAUCAGAAGCUAUGAGAUUUAGCCCCAGUCGGUCCAUAACACUCAGCACUUUUACCAUCUGCCUGUUAGAAGGGUAAACAUGCCACUAUAUUCAUCCAGCAAAAAUUCCUAUUUACCUGGCCCUCGAAUCUCCUCUGAGUGAUCCUGAGACGUCAUAUUAAACGGGAACGAUAAAGGUAUCGAGGACACAAAACGAGCUCGAUGCCUGUGGCCUCACGAUAUAGCAAAGACAUAAAUCCCUACUUGUCAAGGGCAUGUUCUCUGUCCCUUUCCAAAUCCCACAGGUCGUAGGUAGGAGAGCGGAGGAUGAGCUGACAAAUCUCUGCUCCAAAUUAAAAUCUAACGCUGUGCGAAGUUUCCACGGUUCUUCCCCUGUUGUCAGGAAAUUCAGCUCAGUUAUGCUGUUGCUGUUUCCGAAGACCGAUUCUUUUUUUUUUCUUUUUCUCAUAAUUCAAAAUAUAACUGUCAACAUCUCUGUUCAUAAAGUAAACUAUUUCUCUGACCUAUCAUUUUGUUUCCACUCACUCCCAUAUGCCAGAUAAAUGCAAGUGUUUUCUAAUAUAAUUUGGGUUCAGGGCAAAAUGACUUCAUGAAAGUUUUUAGGGGAUGCCACAGAUCCCUCAGAGAACACAUUUUUUUUUUUGAUAUGCUUUUCCAAAAUUUAAUUUUAUUGUGUUUUUACUGUUCGAAAUGUUAAUUCUUUGUAUUGCCUACAUCCUAUCUUCCUAAAAUGUACAGUAAGCCACCAUUCCAAUAGAAUUAGCAACAACAACAACAACAACAACAACAAAAAACCCAAAUAAAUAAAGCAAGCUUCAAUUAAUCAUGUUUGGAAUAAACCGCAGAUUGUAAAAUGCCGAUGAGCGGCAGCUGGGACAAGGAUAAGCCAGAUGACAGUUGAGGGCACACACUUAUGAUGAGUAGUAAGUCCUAGCGACCUAAUGUACAGAAAAAUGAAUAUAGACGACAGUGGUGUAUGACAAUCAUCAGACUUGCUAAGAGGCUAGAUCUUAAUUAUUCCAAUUUAAUAAUUAUGUGACUUCAUAGUGGCGCUAUCACUGCAGCGUCAGUCAUAAUGCAGUAGACACAUGUAUUAAAUACACACAUUUACACCUUAAAAUUUAUACCAUGCUGUAUGUCAAUUUUUUUUUUUUUUUUUUUUUGUCUUUUCUAGGGCUGCACCCGUGGCAUAUGGAGGGUCCCAGGCUAAGGGUCUAAUCGAAGCUGUAGCCGCCGACCUACACCACAGCCACAGCAACGCAGGAUCCAAGCCGUGUUUGCAACCUACCCCACAGUUCACAGCAACACCACAUUCUUAACUCAAGUAGCAAGGCCAGGGAUCGAACCCGCAACCUCGUAGUUCCUAAUCGGAUUCGUUAACUGCUGAGCCAUGAAGGGAACUCUGUGUGUCAAUAUAGUUUGUAAAAAAAUCAAGCCAAAAAUGAAAAAGAAACCCUGCACGUUGUAACAUCACCACAAUGUUUCAGAGAAAUCCCGUCCCGAGGAAACGUAAUACAAUUUAACCCAGACGUUUCCAGACCCAUGACAUCCAGACAGCAGUUAUUAACAUCUGAAACCUGUGUUCUGGAGAACUCAGUUUGGGAAUGGAAGUUGAAAGCAUCCUUGAUUUAAGGCCCUGGUUCUCAACAGGAAGCAGUGUUUUCCCCUAACAGGGUAAUUGGAAAUAUCGAGGGCCUUUUUUGGUCGCCGUAACUGGGAAAAUGUCUAUGUUAAUGGCAUCUAGUUUAUGGAUGCUAGGAUUUCUUCCAAACAUCCUGUAAUGAGGACAGAACCUCAAUAAAGGAUUACCCAGUUCAAAUGCCAGUACUGCCAAGGUUGAGAAAUCCUUUUUAAGGGGAGAAGGGCAGGGAACAAACCUAAAAAUCAGUUUUCUAUGUUUAAAUCUCAGGAUAAAUGAAGGCAAAUGGCAUGAACUCUAGAACCAUGACAGUAAAGAGCACGGGGGACUGUCAUUCCAGAGGCCCUGAUCUUUGAAUCUCAGUUCUGAUACUUUGACUGUAUAACCUAGAAAAUUUGUUGAGCCAUGUGUGCCUCUGUUUCCUAUGUAUACAAUGAGCACAGAGUAAUUUUAUCUAUCUCCUAUGUUUUAUUUUAAUGUUCUGAGUUAAUACAUACAUGCAGCAUUUAGAAUAUAUGAAAUAGUAACAAAAAAUCAAAAAUUGAUUCUGUUCCUUUGAUACAGAUUUGUUAUUGAAAGAGUUAUUCACAGUAUUCUGCCAGUACCCCAGUUCUGUGACACUGUAUUUUGUGCUCUAAACUGUAACUGUUUUCAAAGAUCCUGGCAAAUGUUUUCAAGAAUACAUGAAAUUUCAUAGCCAUUAAGCAAUUAAAUCAUAAGACUAAUUUCUCUGGAUCUAAUCUCAUGAGGAUCAGACAGCCUUUUAACAAUGAUUCAAGUUUCCAUGUAUUCUUAUUUUCAGAAAGCAAACUCUCUUUCCUUUGAAGAUAUGCAUCAACUUUAGAAAAGUUUCCUUUUUACAUAUUAAUUUCAUAUGUUGACUUUCAGACAUGUCAAAUGAGUUUGGUUUUGGGGCAUUCAGCUCUCUCGCUAUCUUAUUAGUCGUGAAAUAUUAAUGAGAUUAAUUUUUUCUGAAAAGGUAAAAUAAUCUAGGGAAAAUAAAAAUAAGCAAAACAAUAAUCUGUCUAAUGAUAUUUUUGAACUUUUUUUUAACCUCCAUCUAAUUCAGUAAGACAUACUUUAAAUGAUGUGUUGCUUUGUUGAUUCUUUCUUCUUGAGGGUUCAUUCCUGCUUCCUUAUCCCCAGUUUUCCCGGAUAGCAUCAUUCUCCCAAAUUUCAUUAUUUUCAUAAAUUCUUACACUAUAUCCCCAUAUCACAUGCCUAUUUCCCCUAAAUAAAAUGCUACAGGCGUUGUCAGCUGAGCUGAUGGGGGAGUGAAUAGGGAAAGGCCCUAUUUCAAAGUAAGUUUUCUUCACUGGAGAAAACUGUCUAAAUGUAUUUCAAAGGAGGGGUUGAUGUAUUUUUUUGUGUUUUAAUAUUAUCUAUAAAGUGACUUGUUACUAAUUCUUGUUAAAAGUGAAUUAGGAUGAUGAGAAUGAGGACGAUGUGGGGGUGUGUGCUGGGAAGUCUGAGAAGCUUUCAUUGGCUUAAGGUCGUCUGUUCACAGAGACACAAGUUCGUCCUCAGUCCGACUCAAAGAGAUCAUGUGGAGACUGUGUGAAACAGAGUGACGUGACUUAAGAUGUGCAAGUUAAUGAAAACUGGUCUUUCGAUGGAAAAGCACUCGAACUUCAUAUCCUAACACUGGGCAUUUCUGAACUCAUCUCAUUGGCUGUUGGAGUUCAUUUCGGUUUCUGGGUCAGUUUGUUUAUUGAACAUAAUACAGGCAGGAAGAAAUGGAAAUCACGACUCCUCUCUUCACGGCCCUUUGUUUGGAGCAGAUCAAGCUGCUCUGAAACAAACUGGUGCUAAUACCGAAGUGGGGCAU